UUAAAUUGAAGAGUUUGAUCAUGGCUCAGAUUGAACGCUGGCGGCAGGCCUAACACAUGCAAGUCGAACGGUAACAGGAAGCAGCUUGCUGCUUCGCUGACGAGUGGCGGACGGGUGAGUAAUGUCUGGGAAACUGCCUGAUGGAGGGGGAUAACUACUGGAAACGGUGGCUAAUACCGCAUAACGUCGCAAGACCAAAGAGGGGGACCUUCGGGCCUCUUGCCAUCAGAUGUGCCCAGAUGGGAUUAGCUGGUUGGUGAGGUAACGGCUCACCAAGGCGACGAUCCCUAGCUGGUCUGAGAGGAUGACCAGCCACACUGGAACUGAGACACGGUCCAGACUCCUACGGGAGGCAGCAGUGGGGAAUAUUGCACAAUGGGCGCAAGCCUGAUGCAGCCAUGCCGCGUGUAUGAAGAAGGCCUUCGGGUUGUAAAGUACUUUCAGCGGGGAGGAAGGUGUUGAGGUUAAUAACCGCAUCAAUUGACGUUACCCGCAGAAGAAGCACCGGCUAACUCCGUGCCAGCAGCCGCGGUAAUACGGAGGGUGCAAGCGUUAAUCGG
Molecule: ribosomal RNA, 560 nt
Filed under: Salmonella enterica subsp. enterica serovar Agona
Lineage: Bacteria; Pseudomonadati; Pseudomonadota; Gammaproteobacteria; Enterobacterales; Enterobacteriaceae
Description: bacterial SSU rRNA
Rfam family: Bacterial small subunit ribosomal RNA
Source: RNAcentral